RNAcentral lists this ribosomal RNA (552 nucleotides) under Candida tropicalis. RNAcentral describes it as "eukaryotic LSU rRNA". It matches the Rfam family "Eukaryotic large subunit ribosomal RNA", at positions 91 to 659 of the family's 3401-position model. The record is from RNAcentral. Lineage: Eukaryota; Fungi; Ascomycota; Pichiomycetes; Serinales; Debaryomycetaceae.
GAGUGAAGCGGCAAAAGCUCAAAUUUGAAAUCUGGCUCUUUCAGAGUCCGAGUUGUAAUUUGAAGAAGGUAUCUUUGGGUCUGGCUCUUGUCUAUGUUUCUUGGAACAGAACGUCACAGAGGGUGAGAAUCCCGUGCGAUGAGAUGAUCCAGGCCUAUGUAAAGUUCCUUCGAAGAGUCGAGUUGUUUGGGAAUGCAGCUCUAAGUGGGUGGUAAAUUCCAUCUAAAGCUAAAUAUUGGCGAGAGACCGAUAGCGAACAAGUACAGUGAUGGAAAGAUGAAAAGAACUUUGAAAAGAGAGUGAAAAAGUACGUGAAAUUGUUGAAAGGGAAGGGCUUGAGAUCAGACUUGGUAUUUUGUAUGUUACUUCUUCGGGGGUGGCCUCUACAGUUUAUCGGGCCAGCAUCAGUUUGGGCGGUAGGAGAAUUGCGUUGGAAUGUGGCACGGCUUCGGUUGUGUGUUAUAGCCUUCGUCGAUACUGCCAGCCUAGACUGAGGACUGCGGUUUAUACCUAGGAUGUUGGCAUAAUGAUCUUAAGUCGCCCGUCUUGACC